GGUCUCGGUGGAGUUGGGAAGA
Molecule: microRNA, 22 nt
Filed under: Pinus densata
Lineage: Eukaryota; Viridiplantae; Streptophyta; Pinopsida; Pinales; Pinaceae
Description: pde-miR3704a
Source: miRBase by way of RNAcentral